This is a long non-coding RNA of Cyprinus carpio (common carp), 1215 nucleotides long. RefSeq lists it as uncharacterized. The record is from RefSeq and is a predicted model, not a curated record. NCBI's taxonomy places the organism in Eukaryota, Metazoa, Chordata, Actinopteri, Cypriniformes, Cyprinidae.
GCAGUCUGAAUUGAAAAUGUUAGAAGAAUAAGACGUUAUAUUCAUUUUUCUUUUUUUUUUCUUAAGUGCUUCUCAUUGAGUUAUAUGUUUGGUUUUCUUUCACCUUAAAGCAGCAAAGCUCACAAACACUGUAAACAUCAUCCAUUGCCAAGUUCUUCAAAUUUCCUAAUUUUCCUUCAAAGCACCAUACAGCAUGUGCAGGUGCAAUACUUCACAUUCCUUAAUUGGUGCUAGUCUUUGUCGGAAUGAAAGUCUGCAGCUACUCCGAAGUUUAUUGUUGAUUACAGCCGAGAUUCCAGGCAGACCCCAUUGUCCUUAUAUGGCACAACAGAGACCUGGUAGAGCCGUGCAUCUCUGCCUCUCUCUCUCGCAACCUCUCACUUUUACUCUCUCUAUACACCCCCAUCCUCCAUCUGCCUCCAAGACACUCUCUCUACCUUCUUUCCAUCCCUUCGCACAUCCAAGAGAGCUUGACGCUGAACAGUGACAGAGGCGCUUCUUUCCCUGCAGGCUUUGUUUUCUCCCCCAUCUCUCUUUUGGACCGCAGCAAGGCCUCAGAACAUACCAGCCACGGUCCUGUUCCCUGGAAACAUCACAGACUUGAUUUAUGGGAUGCAAUCGGAGGUUGUCCUUAUAUAGGAAGUUCCAUUAGAUAGCAGGAGCCCGUUGUGGGAAUGGAGGGGACGGAAUGUGAUGUGCGUAACGAUAAGGGUCCCAAAACGGAUCUCAGGGGAUUCGCCUCGUCCAGAUGUAGUGUAUGGCAUGUAGUCUAGGGGAUCUCCCUUUUCCCACUUGGGCCUUUUCUGUUUCUUUCCUCUGUUCUUUAUGUUAAGGUUUCCUUGAUAUAUUCCUUGUCCCCGUUCACUUUCACUGUGUGGAAGAGAGUAGUGUGAACAUACUGCGAAACAUCUCCUUCUGUGCUUCACGUAAGAAAUAACUUCACAGUUUUGGAAUGACAUGGGCAUGCAAAAAUAACGACAGAAUUUUCAUUUUUGGUUGAACUAUCCCUUUAAAUCUGACAUUUUUCCACAUUCCAGAUUCUGCGACUAAUGUUUGUGUUCUGCUACUAAAACAGUAUGAAAAUUCCUCAUAAAAACAUGAAUGACUGCAUAUUUAAAAAUAUGAUAAUGUAAAUAAUAAUUUCAAAAUUUCCUCAGUAAUCAUGUCAUUUCCUACAACAAAAAACUUUGUACAUAAUAAUCCCCCCCCCCUUCU